Ornithodoros turicata is the source of this 590-nucleotide long non-coding RNA. RefSeq lists it as uncharacterized. The transcript is spliced from 2 exons. The record is from RefSeq and is a predicted model, not a curated record. Lineage: Eukaryota; Metazoa; Arthropoda; Arachnida; Ixodida; Argasidae.
UUACGUUCUCAAGCAGCGUUCAUUGAGCACAGGCGCCUCAAACGCGCAUAUAAAUGGAAUAUGCGCGUGGUGAUUACUUAGAUUCACGAAAAAGAACGAAGCUGUAAUAAACAAAAGUAUGUAAGAGGAGGAAGAGGAAGACAGACCGGAACGACCGAAGUGGUCACUGUUCUUCGGGGACUGCGUCAAAGGCGCCAUGAGGUCGGCUGCGAUGUUACUAAUAUUUUUUCUCAUCAGCAUAGUGACCAGCGGAGCUUAUGAGUAUAAAGUGCAUCCGUGCAAACGCAUGCUCAACUAUCCAGAGUGCAAGAAACCCCGAGUGAAGUACGUGUACAAGGAAAAAUUAUCUUCCUGCAAACCAGUCAUCUACAGCGGAUGCGAACCUAGCGAGAAGUUCAAGUACUUCUCGUCGCUGUCGGGCUGCGAGAAAGAAUGCGUCGGCAAAGAAGACAUCACAGUGAUCGUUUAGGCUGGUGUCCGCGUACCUCAUUUUCUGUGUGAUCGCGGAACACAACAACGUUACUUUCUUCCCGGACUCUGCAAGACUGUCCCGGUAAGGCCCCGCCAAAAAUAAAGUUGGCUGACGGUCA